This 500-nucleotide ribosomal RNA is filed under the name uncultured bacterium. RNAcentral's name for it is "partial 16S ribosomal RNA". It matches the Rfam family "Bacterial small subunit ribosomal RNA", at positions 28 to 507 of the family's 1533-position model. The record is from RNAcentral.
GACGAACGCUGGCGGCGUGCUUAACACAUGCAAGUCGAACGGGUCUGCCCUGUUUUUUGCGGAGUGGGUCAGUGGCGAACGGGUGAGUAACACGUGAGUAACCUGCCCCUCACUUCUGGAUAACCGCUUGAAAGGGUGGCUAAUACGGGGUGUUCUGGCUGUGCCGCAUGGUGUGGCUGGGAAAGAUUCACUUUUGUGGUGUUUUGGUGGGGGAUGGGCUCGCGGCCUAUCAGGUUGUUGGUGGGGGGGUGGCCUGCCACGGCUUUGACGAGUAGCCGGCCUGGGGGGGUGGGCGGUCAUACUGGUACGGAGAGGCGGCCCAGACUCCGGCGGGAGGCAGCAGGGGGGGGUAUGGCACAAGCGGCAGAAUGCUGAUGCAGCGACGUCGCGUGAGGGAUGGAGGCCUGCGGGUUGUGAACCUCUUUCGCCGGUGAAGAAGGUCCUGCUCUUUGUGGUGGGGUUGACGGUAGCCGGGUUAGGAAGCGCCGGCUAACUACGUG